RNAcentral lists this ribosomal RNA (378 nucleotides) under uncultured bacterium. Its description in RNAcentral is "partial 16S ribosomal RNA". It matches the Rfam family "Bacterial small subunit ribosomal RNA", at positions 338 to 733 of the family's 1533-position model. The record is from RNAcentral.
CCUACGGGUGGCAGCAGUAGGGGAUAUUGCACAAUGGGGGAAACCCUGAAGCAGCAACGCCGCGUGGAGGAUGAAGGUUUUCGGAUUGUAAACUCCUUUUGUUAGAGAAGAUAAUGACGGUAUCUAACGAAUAAGCACCGGCUAACUACGUGCCAGCAGCCGCGGUAAUACGGAGGGGGCAAGCGUUACCCGGAUUCACUGGGCGUAAAGAGCGCGCAGGCGGGGUGGCAAGCCAGAGGUGAAAUCCUAGGGCUUAACCCUCGAACUGCAUUUGAAACUGUUAUGCUGGAGUAUGGGAGGGGUAGGUGGAAUUCGUGGUGUAGGGGUAAAAUCCGUAGAGAUCAAGAGGAACACUCAUGGCGAAGGCGACCUGCUAGA